RNAcentral lists this ribosomal RNA (459 nucleotides) under Stumpffia tridactyla (Guibe's stump-toed frog). RNAcentral's name for it is "partial large subunit ribosomal RNA". The stretch from base 15 to 131 matches the Rfam family "Bacterial large subunit ribosomal RNA", at positions 714 to 852 of the family's 2925-position model. The record is from RNAcentral. Lineage: Eukaryota; Metazoa; Chordata; Amphibia; Anura; Microhylidae.
CUUAAGUUUGGCCCCCCGAAACUAGACGAGCUACUCUAAAACAGCCCACAGAGCUAACCCAUCCCUGUUGCAAGAGGGUGGAAAGAUUUUAAAGUAGAGGCGACACACCUACCGAGCCUAGAAAUAGCUGGUUAUUUAAUAAACGGAUUUGAGUCCCCCUUUAAGCUUCCCCAGUCUAACUAAACCCCCCACAAGCUUAAAAGCCAUUCAAAUAAGGUACAGCCUAUUUGAACUAGGAAACAACCUCCAACACCGGGUAACAACUACAUGUGCGGCCAAGUAGGCCUAAAAGCAGCCAACUUAUAAAAGCGUCCAAGCUUCCCCACAAUCUAUCCCCAAAUUCACCCACUAAUUUAUAACCCCCACCCACUACUAAAUGACCCCAUAUUUGUAUGAGAGACAUUAUGCUAGAACUAGUAACAAGAAGAAGAACUUCUCCAAAAUGUAAAUGUAAACCAA